CCUACGGGGCGCUGCAGUGAGGAAUAUUGGUCAAUGGUCGGGAGACUGAACCAGCCAAGCCGCGUGAGGGAUGAAGGUACAGAGUAUCGUAAACCUCUUUUGUCAGGGAACAAAGGCGGGGACGUGUCCCCGGAUGAGUGUACCUGAAGAAAAAGCAUCGGCUAACUCCGUGCCAGCAGCCGCGGUAAUACGGAGGAUGCGAGCGUUAUCCGGAUUUAUGGGGUUUAAAGGGUGCGCAGGCGGUCUGUUAAGUCAGCGGUCAAAGCCCGGGGCUCAACCCCGGCCCGCCGUUGAAACUGGCAGUCUCGAGUUGGAGAGAAGUAUGCGGAAUGCGCGGUGUAGCGGUGAAAUGCAUAGAUAUCGCGCAGAACUCCGAUUGCGAAGGCAGCAUGCCGGCUCCACACUGACGCUGAGGCACGAAAGCGUGGGUAUCGAACAGGAUUAGAUACCCGUGUAGUC
Molecule: ribosomal RNA, 459 nt
Filed under: uncultured bacterium
Lineage: Bacteria
Description: partial 16S ribosomal RNA
Rfam family: Bacterial small subunit ribosomal RNA
Source: RNAcentral